Non-coding RNA from Peromyscus maniculatus bairdii (prairie deer mouse), 1082 nucleotides. The record is from RefSeq and is a predicted model, not a curated record. NCBI's taxonomy places the organism in Eukaryota, Metazoa, Chordata, Mammalia, Rodentia, Cricetidae.
UCUCUCCUGCCCUCCCCUCCAUCCCCUUGGCCAUGAAGCCCGGAUCAAAGGCUCCAAGCUGGGCUUUUGCCAGGGGCUGGCAGGAUUGGGGUGGGUGGGGGGCCUCGUGGGAAAGGAAACCGUGGAGGUGCAGAGGCUGCUGGAAGAGCUUUGAAGGCCGGAGACCAGGUUCAGAGAUGGUAAGUAACUUGCUCCAGACAACACAGCUCUAAGUAACGCCGCCGCCGCCGCCACUGAAACCCAGGCAACCCCCCAGCUGUUCUGAAGACCAGCUUCUGCCACUACAGAAGUGACGGGUGGGAGAACUGAUGAUUCCAGCUUCACCAAACCACUGCUUAGCCCUCCAGGCUCUAUUGCUCCUGCCAGGCAAGGAAGAGUGGCCAGCCGUGGUUCCUGGGGCAGAAAGACAGACUCCCUUCCUGGACACUUCCGAAAGCCUUAUUUCUCAUCCACUGCGACGCUGAGUGGCAGCCAAGGAAUGUGUUCUGGUCCUGUUUUACCACAGGGGAAAACCGGGUGAACCUAUCAAGAAGAGCCUGCUGCUUCCCACCUCUGGAUCCUGGAGGAGCCUGCAGGCGCUCAGGUCACUCACCUUAGCCACAUCCAGCAGGUAGAUCUGCAGGAAGAACCCCAGGGCACAGCCCGUCAGCUGGUAUGGGGCCCCUCCAACUGCAUAACAGAGCUUGUUGCAAAUGGACAAUUGCUGUGUCUUCUUCUUCGGUUCCUUCUGGGGAGAGAAGGGAAGACUUGAAAACAAACCCAGGAUUCUGGCCUCCAACCUAGUCUCCAGCUAACCAAACCAGGAGGAACAGCUCCUCCACCCUGCCCAAGUUCUCACCUAGGGAAAUCCCACUUCCCCUACCCCAGAGGAAGUUGCCCUUAAACUCAGACUUAUCUCACCCCCCCACCUCCCCUAGAGUCUUGAGGAAACCUAUCACCCUUCAUCUUUAAAGAUCGUCCCCCAGGCCAGGUGUAGGGAGGUAGAGCCAGGCAGGUCUCUGAGUUUGAGGCCAGCUUGGUCUACAGAGCGGGUUCCUAGACAGCCAGAACUACACAGAGAAACCCUGUCACAAACAAACAAA